This 60-nucleotide transfer RNA is filed under the name Veillonella sp. RNAcentral's name for it is "tRNA-OTHER". Lineage: Bacteria; Bacillati; Bacillota; Negativicutes; Veillonellales; Veillonellaceae. The record is from RNAcentral.
GGACGAUUAGCUCAGCUGGGAAGCAGGAUGUCGGCAGUUCGAUCCUGUCAUCGUCCACCA